This 456-nucleotide ribosomal RNA is filed under the name uncultured bacterium. RNAcentral's name for it is "bacterial SSU rRNA". It matches the Rfam family "Bacterial small subunit ribosomal RNA", at positions 15 to 518 of the family's 1533-position model. The record is from RNAcentral.
GAUUCUGGCUCAGAACGAACGCUGGCGGCAGGCUUAACACAUGCAAGUCGAACGCACCGCAAGGUGAGUGGCAGACGGGUGAGUAACGCGUGGGAACCUUCCCUUUGGUACGGAAUAACUUCGGGAAACCGAAGCUAAUACCGUAUAAGUCCUUCGGGAGAAAGAUUUAUCGCCAAAGGAUGGGCCCGCGUUGGAUUAGCUAGUUGGUAGGGUAAAAGCCUACCAAGGCGACGAUCCAUAGCUGGUCUGAGAGGAUGAUCAGCCACACUGGGACUGAGACACGGCCCAGACUCCUACGGGAGGCAGCAGUGGGGAAUAUUGGACAAUGGGGGCAACCCUGAAUCCAGCCAUGCCGCGUGAGUGAAGAAGGCCUUAGGGUUGUAAAGCUCUUUUGGCGGGGACGAUAAUGACGGUACCCGCAGAAUAAGCCCCGGCUAACUUCGUGCCAGCCGCUGC